RNAcentral lists this ribosomal RNA (301 nucleotides) under uncultured bacterium. RNAcentral's name for it is "partial 16S ribosomal RNA". It matches the Rfam family "Bacterial small subunit ribosomal RNA", at positions 509 to 807 of the family's 1533-position model. The record is from RNAcentral.
CAGCAGCCGCGGUAACACGUAGGGUGCAAGCGUUAAUCGGAAUUACUGGGCGUAAAGCGUGCGCAGGCGGUUAUAUAAGACAGAUGUGAAAUCCCCGGGCUCAACCUGGGAACUGCAUUUGUGACUGUAUAGCUAGAGUACGGCAGAGGGGGAUGGAAUUCCGCGUGUAGCAGUGAAAUGCGUAGAUAUGCGGAGGAACACCGAUGGCGAAGGCAAUCCCCUGGGCCUGUACUGACGCUCAUGCACGAAAGCGUGGGGAGCAAACAGGAUUAGAUACCCCAGUAGUCCCUGUCUCUUAUAC